Cyanistes caeruleus (blue tit) is the source of this 216-nucleotide non-coding RNA. Lineage: Eukaryota; Metazoa; Chordata; Aves; Passeriformes; Paridae. The record is from RefSeq and is a predicted model, not a curated record.
AUCCGCCCUCCCAUGGAGAGGAUGAGGCCCAAAGGCCAGCAAGGUAGAUUCUGCACAUGCCAUGUGUCCUUCUCCUUUUCUCCAGCCCUGAGCCCUCAGCUAACCAGUUCUGAUCCUCCUGUAUAAACCCUGCACGCUCAGACUUCCCCUGGGGCUCUUGUUCCCGGCACCUUUUACAGAGUGCCCCUUUUUAAUAAAGGCUCUCUCUGGUCUCCA